RNAcentral lists this ribosomal RNA (497 nucleotides) under uncultured bacterium. Its description in RNAcentral is "partial 16S ribosomal RNA". It matches the Rfam family "Bacterial small subunit ribosomal RNA", at positions 28 to 507 of the family's 1533-position model. The record is from RNAcentral.
GAUGAACGCUGGCGGCGUGCCUAAUACAUGCAAGUCGAGCGAACGGACGAGAAGCUUGCUUCUCUGAUGUUAGCGGCGGACGGGUGAGUAACACGUGGAUAACCUACCUAUAAGACUGGGAUAACUUCGGGAAACCGUAGCUAAUACCGGAUAAUAUUUUGAACCGCAUGGUUCAAAAGUGAAAGACGGUCUUGCUGUCACUUAUAGAUGGAUCCGCGCUGCAUUAGCUAGUUGGUAAGGUAACGGCUUACCAAGGCAACGAUGCAUAGCCGACCUGAGAGGGUGAUCAGCCACACUGGAACUGAGACACGGUCCAGACUCCUACGGGAGGCAGCAGUAGGGAAUCUUCCGCAAUGGGCGAAAGCCUGACGGAGCAACGCCGCGUGAGUGAUGAAGGUCUUCGGAUCGUAAAACUCUGUUAUUAGGGAAGAACAUAUGUGUAAGUAACUGUGCACAUCUUGACGGUACCUAAUCAGAAAGCCCCGGCUAACUACGUG